This 66-nucleotide transfer RNA is filed under the name Furcifer minor. RNAcentral's name for it is "tRNA-His". The record is from RNAcentral. Lineage: Eukaryota; Metazoa; Chordata; Lepidosauria; Squamata; Chamaeleonidae.
GCUACGAUAGUUUACUCUAAAACACUAGCCUGUGACGCUAGAAACGGAACCACCCUCCCCGCAGCU